Molecule: long non-coding RNA, 677 nt
Filed under: Homo sapiens (human)
Lineage: Eukaryota; Metazoa; Chordata; Mammalia; Primates; Hominidae
Description: HSALNT0358261
Source: RNAcentral
UGUCUAUUUUUCCAACAAGAUUAGCACUUUUACCUCCAGCAACUACUACAGCAUUAAAUGAUGAACUUACAGUUUUCAAAAGUAUAUUCAUUAAUUAUGAACAUCUUGACUACACUAAGUUAUCAGAGAAAAGGGAAGUGAUUUAGCUCUUGAUCACAGAGACCCAGAGCAUCAGUAAAUCAAGUGAUGACAAAAGCAAAGAACUCCAUAAUGACUCAGCUAUUCUCAAUCAGGCUGUGUUAAAACCACUCAGGUUGAGCAUGGGGAAGCUCAGCCGGUACAAGUGGUAGUCAGUGUUCCCCUGACAGUAUAAUUUUUAUGGUGUUUGUUUUAUCAAACAUAAAUGUGCAACUUGACUGCCACAAACUUCCAGAAAGAAAAAAAACACAAAGAUAUCAUCGCAGAACAUAAAAUAAGGUCUAUAUUCAGCUUCUCUGGAGAAGAGCAGAAAAAUCUACUGCUGUGAAGCAUGUCUUCUUAUGAAAAGAGUUCAGAAGGAAAAAUGUCUGAGCUUCUCUGGAGAAGAGCAGAAAAUCUGCUGCCGUGAAGUAUGUCCUCUUAUGAAAAGAGUUCAUGUUAAAGUUUGUCAAUGAGAAAAACUCACUUGAGGCUUGGAAAGUGGAAUGAAGAGAUAGCACAUGAUUUCCUGGAGCAGUUGCGGAGACAUCUGUGAGCAG